AGGAGUGUAGCUCAACUGGUAGAGCACCGGUCUCCAAAACCGGGGGUUGAGGGUUCGAUCCCUUCCACUCCUGCCA
Molecule: transfer RNA, 76 nt
Filed under: Alphaproteobacteria bacterium
Lineage: Bacteria; Pseudomonadati; Pseudomonadota; Alphaproteobacteria
Also listed under: 1 other name
Description: tRNA-Trp
Rfam family: tRNA
About the family: Transfer RNA (tRNA) molecules are approximately 80 nucleotides in length. Their secondary structure includes four short double-helical elements and three loops (D, anti-codon, and T loops). Further hydrogen bonds mediate the characteristic L-shaped molecular structure. tRNAs have two regions of fundamental functional importance: the anti-codon, which is responsible for specific mRNA codon recognition, and the 3' end, to which the tRNAs corresponding amino acid is attached (by aminoacyl-tRNA synthetases). tRNAs cope with the degeneracy of the genetic code in two manners: having more than one tRNA (with a specific anti-codon) for a particular amino acid; and 'wobble' base-pairing, i.e. permitting non-standard base-pairing at the 3rd anti-codon position.
Source: RNAcentral